GCCACACGUUGGUGGUCAUGAUCUGCUCCCGUUCGUUCACGCUGAUGAGCUGUGCCAGUGACACCAUGAGCUGCACGGUGACGAGCUGAGAGCCGUUGGUGGCCGGGCGGAUGAGUUUGUUGUAGCGUGUGGGGUCCAGGAGGUAUUCCACCAGGCGCUCCUCCGUGUCCGUGCACAGACUGCGUCGGAGCGCGGCGAGGAGGCAGAGGACGCGGAGCAGCGCCAUGGGGGCGGCCCGCUGCCUCCGCCGGUGCCGGUCUCGGUGCCGCUGCCCCGGCGCUGUCCCCGGUGCUGCCCGCGCUCUCCGCGGUGCUGGAGCCGGCGGCGGCGGCGGCG
This 336-nucleotide long non-coding RNA is filed under the name Gallus gallus (chicken). The record is from RNAcentral. Lineage: Eukaryota; Metazoa; Chordata; Aves; Galliformes; Phasianidae.